This 13733-nucleotide long non-coding RNA is filed under the name Musa acuminata (dwarf banana). Its description in RNAcentral is "long non-coding RNA (MACU_LNC005013)". Lineage: Eukaryota; Viridiplantae; Streptophyta; Magnoliopsida; Zingiberales; Musaceae. The record is from RNAcentral.
UUACCAAAAAAGGUGGUGGUUUGAUAGGCGUUAACCCUGUGGGUACGGUGAGUGCGGCGUACACCGGCCUGUUAUCCCUCCACCGUCAAGAGCGGGAGGUGGUCGCUGCUCUGUGAAGCCAGCCUGACGCGGUGUCCUCCGCUUUAGGAUCCUAAGAAGCUCGAGCCUUCGCCCGGGCCGCACGGCUCAGCUGCCUGACUUGGAACGGACAAGCCGAGUAUAGUACGGUCGCACCCAACCCAGUCGAGUUAAACACACCAUCCCACCGCCUCAAGGCUCCCGCUCGGGUUACAAGCCCACGCUACCGGGCUCGGCGAUCGAGGCGCUUUCGCAGCAGAAUAUAACGUCUUUGAUUCUUUUAGAAUUGGCGAUGUGGGACUAAGAAUUGUGCCAACCCGCCACCGAUUCAUCCACCAGCAAAAUGCUUUGGAGGAUAACACAAACUGCAAGUGCCCCAAGAGAAUUGGAUUGCGCACGAACAGCUUCUUUCUACUCCAACGCCCCGAAUGAUGCAUUCAUGGCCAAACUGUGUUGUUCAUGGAUGCAGAUCGAAAAGCGCUAAGUAAUCCCCAAAGGUAAGAAUACGUUUGAUUGUCUUACGAUACAACCUUACCCUAUUAGAAAUUUAAUCUCAUAAUCUAAUAAUACUAAAAGAACAAAAAAGAGAAUCCAAUUACAGAGAAAAGGAAUGAUAAAAAAGUGGGGUCUGAUCGAUGUUAGCUUGCCGAGCAUGGUAAGGUGUGGCUUCGACCAGUCUGCCAUCCCUUCCACUGUCGAGAGCGGGAGGUACUCGUUUCUUUGUUAGGAUGCGUAUGACUCGAGUCUUCGCCUGGAGUCACAUUGCUCAAUUUCUUGACUCAAAAUGGGCAAGUCGGGGUUGGGUGGGUCAAACCUAACCCAAUCAAGCACAACACAUCAUUCCACCUCCUUCAUGCCCUCACUCAUGUGACAAGCCUGUGCUACGAGGCUCGACAAUUACAAGUAUUUCACAGAGUAAUAUAAAGGCAUAAAAAUAGGUAAAAACUAGCAAUGUGGGACGAAGAAUAGUGCGACCACUUUCCCCUCCUCCCUUUGCAGAGAGAUUCACGAACCAAAUGCUUUCGAGAGGGAACAUAGGCUUGGAUGGUGUAUUUGUCCACCUGUUUUUAUUUUGGAGAAAGAAUUCAACUGCAUUGUAAACGUAAAACUCCUUCCUACUCCCCUCCUCAAUGAUAUAUAAAUAUUUAGAAAAAAACUUUAGUUUUCAAAAAUUCUCCAUCUCAACUUUUAAAAAUAUAAACAAAGUACCUAUUUCGUGCAUUAAAACAUCGUUUUAUCUCUACUUUUGUCGGAUCCAUUAUUACCUCAACCCUAUAUCAAUGCUCUAACUCUUUUCCCCUUUGCUAAGAACAACAAUAGAGUAGGGGGUCACGAAUCCUUGGUACUUUGUGUCUUCACACACGAGUUGACUUACGCACUUAGCCAUGCUUUUAUCUUGAACAGUCAUCCAUUACCCACAGCAUUGUUGAUCGCCUUCAUGAGUGGGCCCAGCCAAACUCUUUCCCCGCCUAUGAUCGAUGACGAGGGGUGCUUAUGGGCGAUUGCGAGGGUACACAGUAUGCCUCCCCUCCUUCCUCACCCACGAACAAUGAUGAGUGAAGGCAUAGGGGUCGUGGCCCUUGGUUCUUCAUUUGCAAUCGAUAACGAUAGAGUUCAAAUAUAUAUUGUAUAGCUUAAUAUUUUCAAAGUUACGAUCGCCUAAUAUUUUUUAAGAAUAUACAUAUUUAGAAUUUUUUUAAAUCUAAGAUCUAUAUAAUAUUUAUUUAUUUUUAAUUAGUUUAGUCCUUCUAUUCAAAGAUACGAACUUGAAUAAUCGAUGAUAAAAUAAGACAUAAUAUCAUGAAAAAUAAAAAAAUAUUUUUUUAGAAAAAUUAGAAAACCAUAUUAAUUAGUAAAAGCUGAAAAAAAAUAUUAGCAUCACCAUGGGCUAAGGAGUUACAAAUCCUAUGAAAAAUCAAUUUAAACUAAGCUAUGUUGAAAUUGCAUAGUUGAUCCUUUCUAAUCCCACGUCAUUGGGUUUUAGAGGAUAAUGUGAUGGGACAUACCAUGGUACUUCAGCAAAGCGGAGCUUUCUUUCUAUCAUUUAAUAGUCCUAUGCGUUGUAUCUUACUAUUAUUUUUAAUGCGAAAAAGUGGUGGUUUGGUCAGUGUAAGCCCGAUGGGUAUGGUGGGGGCGGCGUGCAUCGGCCUGUUAUGCUUCCACCGUCAAGAGAGGGAGGUUAUCGCUGCUCUGUGAAGCCAGCCUGACGCGGUGUCCUCCGCUUUAGAAUCGCAUGUGACUCAGGCCUACGCCAGGACCGCACUGCGAAGCUGCCUGACUUGGAACGGGCAAGCCAAGUCUGGAAAUCACCGGACCCAACCCAAUAGAGCUGAACACAACAUCCCACCACAUCCUUGCCCCCACUCGGGUUACAAGCCUGCGUUACUGGGCUCGGCGAUCGAGGGCCUUCCGCAGCCUCAUAUAACUUUUUGCGAGACUCUAAAUAUUGGCGAUGUGGGACUAAGAGCACUUCCUCCGCUCCCUCCUUUCCCUUUCCGAAAAUUCAUGCACCGCGUGCUUUCUGAGAGAACCCGAAUUGCACCCAAACUUUCGAUCAUGGUUCUUACCACCUUUUCAUCACCUAAAACUAUUUCAUCGGCAAAGAGGCCAUUUGAAUAAGGUCACUAUUCAAAAGCUUAAGAAUAAGGUUACUAUUUAAAUGCUCGAGUUUUUAGAAAAUAAUAAAGUAGAAGAUAUCAAUAGAAUUGUGUUAAUCAUCACCUCUUUACUCUAACGUUUAUCAUCUUUAUAAAAAUUAUCAAAAGAUAAAAGGUGCUUCAUCUCCUUCUCUUUGAAGUUUAUUUUUAGGUUGCCCUUCGUCCUUGUACAUUUUUCAAUGAUAAAUCAUAUAUAAGAUUUAUGACCCAAUGAGCUAUCUCCUUUCAAGAUGAGUCUAUCAAUAUUAAUAUCAAUUUGUCUCUCUGUGACUCCUGAGGUCGAGGUAAGUGUUCUUGGUGCUUAAGGAUGAAUCGCGCAAGAUAAAUCUGAUGUAUGAAUUCUUCAAUAUCCUUUUUCAAGUCUCGAUAUUCAUUUGUGUCAUGGACGUAAUUCAGAUAGAACCGAUAAUAUUUAGAUCCGUCUUUUUUUGCCAAUGAAGUAUUCAUCGAGUGAGAGUCUUUUAAGAGUCUCUUUCCUUUUAUCGGUAGAAAAAAACUUUAAUUCUAAGCAUAUUCAAGGGGGUUAGCUCAGACCUUGGGCGAGGUAACUCAAGUCGUUCGUUCUUCCUCUAUUGUGAUGACCUCGGGGUCGGGGUGGACUAUAGUUGCUCUUACUUCGACCUCUUGUGCGGCUGACUCUUUACGCUUACCAGAUAUUAUUAUCCUGAUGGUAAUAUAUUGAUUGACUCUUUGAAGUGCCUGUAGUAUUGUCGCCGAUGACCUCUCCACUAACGACGAGAAGAGAUGAGAGGACUUGAGACUCAUCAUGAAGGUUUGUAUCAAGAGUGACGAACGGAUAUACCACGCUUUGGAUUUUAUUAAUGAAACUAAGUGAUGAAGUUUGUAAGAAUUUCCUUCAAUUGCAUGAAUACGAGAAGCAUUGACAUUGCUAGCCUCGGGUGCACAUUCCCGAUGAAGUGAAAUUCAAACUUCCUCGUGAACUAGGUAAUGAAACUGAUGGAGAGUGGCUUCAGAUAUAAGUAUCAUUCUCGUGUUAGGUCUCUUAAUAUAGUCGAGAAUGUGUGACACAUCAAGGCAUCCGAAGUGUCAUACAAUAAUAUUUAGGCAUGGAAAGUUAUAAUGUGCUCCAUUGGGUUAGCAUUGCCAUCGAAUGCCUCCAACGACGGUGGUGGAAGAUUGUUAGAAUCGAUUCUUCCUAAAUUUUCUAGAUAAAUGAUGACCGACUCGAGGUGGAGUUAACCAAUGCUUCCCUUUUGGAUUAUUAAAAUUUUUAUCAUAUCUCCUUCAAACGAUGAUCCAUCUAUCAUAGUUGGAUUUGCAAGGAAUCCUUCAUCAAAUUCGUCGAUCUAGUCUCUGAUUUAAGCAUGAUAGAAUCGUGAUAUGGAAUGCUAAAUUUCAUGAUUAUGGAGCGAAGUGCUCUCUCGGCCAUGAUUCGAUAGGUUUUGGGUACUUUUAGGAUGUAACACUAUGUUGGAUGGGGGAAAGUUGAUGGGUGCUAGUGGUGGGUGAGCCAGUGACAACAACUGAGUUAGUGGCGUUGUCUAUUAAGCUAACUAGGGUAAAUGUUAGAGAUUUUAAUAUAUAAAAGAAGUUUUAUAUUUUAAUAUAUAGAAUAUGCAUACUUGCAAGGCAUCUUAUGUUUGUCAAUUGUUGUCACCCCUUUUUUCUUAUUUAAGAUCCCUUCUGAUUUUUUUAAUCAUAAUUAUAUUUUUACUGUUUUUUAAUAUUUAAUUCCUUCCAUCGAAAGAAAUGAACUUGAAUAACGAGAUGAUAUAAUAAAAGACACAAUAUCAACAAAAAUUUCUCAAGACCUACAUAAAGAAAAAACAAUUCUUUGUAAAAAGAGAAAAAGCUAUAUUAAUUAGCAAAAACUAAAAAAAAACGAAGAGCCGUUAGUAGCCUCCGAGGAAGAACAAAAAGUGGGUCAGCCUAUAAAAGUUGGCGUUGCCAUGGGGCUAAGGAGUUACAAAACCUAUCAACAACCAAUCCAAACAAACCAUGCAAAUCAACAACUAUACAAAGAUGAAUGAUGAUCUUAUUAAAUAUUAAACUUAAUAUUUAUGAAGCAAAAUGAAUGUGCUUGUCACAAUAAAAUCAUAAGAGUUCACGAGUGCUUAAGUUUUUUUUACGGCUAGAAUAAUGGAAUAGAUAAAACUUUGGUCGAGCUUACGAACAUAAAAAACGAAAAAAAAAUUAAAAUUUUGGUUAUGUAAAAGCUCAAUAAGAGUUCAAAAUUGGUUAAACUAAUCAGUGUUGCCCAUUUGUGACUGACAUCCACACGAGAUAGCCGAUUAGUUAUUUUUUAUUACUGGAAUAACGUGCAUCUCGACACUGCACAUUGACAAAGCCGAGCGCAUACCUUCCAUUGUCAAAAUCAACUAUGCUAAUGAUCAUGUUAGUGCGAUGGGUUCACUCUGUCAUUUGCCUACGCAUACAAUAUAUACUUUAGAAAACACAGAUAUAUUGAAAUUGCAUAGUUCGUCGUGAUCCUUUCUAAUCCCACACCAUGGGCCUUUAGCGGAUGAUGAGAUGGGACAUACUUCGGUAUCUCAGUAAAGUCAGAGCUCAUUCCUUAAAGGUUUUAUUAUAUUAAUUAUUGAGAGAUUAUAGAUUUUCUUUUAUUUUUUUUUGUUUUUAAUACAUCGCUCGUAGUAGUCUUAUGAAAGAUAAAAAGAGAAGAGAAUACGACUACAGUAGUAGCGACAACUAUAGCUUCAUCGCUACCACUAUGGUGAUUGUUGUAGCUUGUUGUGAUUGUAGCAUUAUCGUUGCUUAGGGCAACUACAACAAUGUCGUUGCGGCAUUUGUUGGCCAUGGCUGUUGAUAAGUCGCAUGCGAAGAGCUAUGCAACCACGAGCGAUGCAGGCGACGAAUGACCAGUGCACCAUCAACAAGACCUGCAAGUGUGGGCGUAGUGGGAUGCGACGACGACAACAACAUGAGAAUUUGAUUUUUUUUAAAGCACAUUUUUGUACCUCGAAUGCAUCUUGAUAUAAGAAAAUCAUAUCUCCUAAGGGCUCUUCACUGAUUUAAUCACCCGAGGAGAAGCACAAGUAAAAUUCUCCUACAUCAUUAGAAUCCAUGAAGUGAUAUAUAACACGAAUUACGAUCAGACCUAAACAAAAGAGGAAUCUCUCGAGCGACAUAACAAAAAUGAAUCCCAUAUUUGCUCUUUACAAUCAAUCUUUUGGCAUUCACUAAAAGUUAGACUAAUUUAGUUGAUAAAAAUCUUCGUUGUAUUUUUUAAAUAUUAUUAUAAAAAUGAAUCCCAUAUUUGCUCUUUACAAUCAAUCUUUUGGCAUUCACUAAAAGUUAGACUAAUUUAGUUGAUAAAAAUUUUCGUUGUAUUUUCUAAAUAUUAUUAUCAGUGUUGUCCCUCUUGAGAUAAAAAAAAGAAAUCGGUGUGCAAAAAGUGGUGGUCUGGUCAGUGUUAGCCCGAUAGGUACGGCGGGUGUGGCGUGCACCGGCCUGUUAUCCUUCCACCGUCAAGAGCGGGAGGUUAUCGCUGCUCUGUGAAACCAGCCUGACGCGGUGUCCUCCGCUUUAGGAUCCCAGAUAGCUCGGGCCUUCGUUCGAGCCACAUAGCUCAGCUGCCUGACUUGGAACGGGCAAGCCAAGUCUAGCACGACCGCACCCAACCUAUUCGGGCUGAACACAACAUUCCACCACCUUAUUGCCCCCACUAGGGUUACAAGCCGGCGUUACCGGGCUCGGCGAUCGAGGCGCUUCCACAACUUCAUAUAGCCUGUCAGUGAAUCCUAAAAAUUGGCGAUGUGGGACUAAAAACGCUCCCUCCUUUUUCCUUUCCGAACAUUCGUGCACCGCAUGCUUUCCAGGAGAAACCCGAAUUGCAUCUAAAGUUUCGAUCAUGGUUCCCCACCACCUAAAACCAUUCCAUCCCCUUCGAACAGACCAACAGAAGAUGCCCUGCAGACCCCUCCAGAUUACCCGACUCCUAAUCUUGAAACCUCGAAACCCAAUGCUCUCCUGCAUCGGGGAUUCAACAUGUUUCGAGCUAAAUUUCUCCUACAUCAGCUGACCGCAAUGCUGUAACUUUGGUGAUGAUGAAGAGGUGUAAGCUGAUAAAUGCUAUAACAAUGCCCGAAUACGUUGUCGGCCUCGUUGCAGAAGAGGAUCGACUUUUAGAUUGUGAAUCUGUGUCUUUGAACAUAGAUGCGCUAGCAUGUAUAUAAACCAUUACUUCUUAAUUCGAUGACAUUAAUAAAUAUAAUUGAUACGUCAUAUUUUGGCCUCGAAGACAUAUCAGGUCAGAAUCCAUACUAAGGCACUGCUUGACACGUCACAUCUUGGGAACCACAAGACACGCCAAGUCAGAAUCCAUACUAAGGCACUGCUCGGCAUGUCACGCCUCAGGAACCCCGAGACGGCGCCGCCCCCAAGACACGCCAAGUCAGAAUCUGUACUAAGGCACUGCUCGGCACGUCUACCAUGCCAAACCUCGUACGACUGACCCACGUACAAUAAUAUAAAGACCUCUGGCCGGCAUCUGGCUAGGAGGGGAAAAAAGGUGGUAAAAUCAAUUGAUCACUCUACUGACUUGUUCGUCAGAGGGUUCUCGUCGGGAAUCACCCAACGAGGGCCAUUUUUGAAGGAAAAUGCAGCCACCUCACGAAGACGAGCUACCAACCACCCGAGAAUCCCCAUCCAGUGCACGAAGGAGAGCAGCCAAUCGGUCCAUAUCCUAAACAAUGCCAACCAGUACUCCUUCUCGAGGGCUUGACCACCUCACGAAGAUGAGCUGCCAACCACCUCAGAAAAAGAGAGACGUAGCUCGACAUACACGACGCUCGGAUCGGCACACCAAGGAACACUGAUCAACACCCCAUUGCAAGGGCCCGAUAGACCUCGAUAUCCAACUCAACCGAUAGAAGACUCCCGACAUCGACCCGUAGACCAGGCUGUGCUAACUCACAAGCCACAGCACAUUUGUUUACUAACAUUUUGACGCUAGAAGGAGGGCAUGUCGCAAGAGCAACAGAUAGGGGUCCUCCCCGAGGGAGAACCACCGACCGACCUCCCUUUUGUUAAACCAAAAAGUCAGGCCUUCCCCACCCCCGGAGACAGGAGGAUCCCGGCUUCGAUGCUAGAUCGCUACUGUCGUCUGUUCAACGACCCGGGAUUGUCACCCCCGAGGCUCACCAUAGGGCCCUCGGUCGUGACACCCGAGGCAUUCCUUAGCCUAACCAAGCAAGUACAGGCCAUGGCGGGCAUGAUGUAGACGCUCGCUCCAAUCAUUCCUCAGAUCGUGCGGCUAGCGACGCCCCCGACCGACCCGUCCCAACAGCGACCGAACAGGGAGCAGGUCGGGACUGGAGAAGCCCAAGAGCAAGCAACGGACUCGAGAGGUCCGCCCGAGUAGAGCAUACUCGCACCCUGCCGAAUCACACCGCUCCACUCCGAGCCCGACACCAUAUCGUCCGACUCGGUGGAUGACUCGUUCAGGAUCCAGUUGUCUCGGAUCAACCAACGCUUGGAUGAGUUCCAGCGCGAGUUCCAGAAAUCGCGAUGCAAGUCGAAUGAAGGCGGCUCGGGCGAAUCGCCUUUCACUCAGGAAAUACAUGACAAGCCUGUACCACUCGACUUUAGGUUGCCCACAUUAGAGAUGUACGACGGCGGCUCUGACCCCGCAGAGCAUGUCGUCAUGUUUCGGGCUCAGCUAUGGCACCUCCAAUGCAUUGAUGUGUCGGGAAUUCCCGACCACCUUCAGGGGCCAGCACGAGCGUGAUUCAACCGGCUGCGCCAGUCCUCAGUCUCAUCCUUCGACCAGCUCACAAGGGAGUUCGAGCAAAACUUCCUCACCAACGUGCAACCCAAGCCUUCUAUCGCUACACUGCUGGCGUUAUCUCAACACGAGGAUGAGUCGCUCUCUCAGUUCGUGGCACAUUUAGCCACCGAGAUCUAUGAAUUUUCGGACGCUCAUCUCUCUCUAAUAAUGCAGGUGUUUCUGAUGGGCUUGAAACCUUCAAGGUUCUUUUGGUCACUAAUCGAGAAGCCUCCAGUAACCAUCCCCGAGAUGCUCCAAUGCGUCAACCAGUACAUCGCCGCCAAAGCUCUGGUGGUGGGAAAGUGCAUGGACAGCAAGAGGCCAAGGGCGAAACAAUCCCGGGGAACGACUUCCGUAGCCCCAGUGCAACCCCGCUAGAGGCUUGACUGACAAGAGCUACUGCUCCUGAGGCCCCCGCCUCUCCCUCUGAGCAUGUUCCACCAGGACUAUGACCACGGCACGGAAGAUUGCUGUGACCUCCAGAAUCAAAUCGAGGACUUGAUCCGAAAAGGUUAUCUCAAGUGCUAUGUCAAGGAAACCCGAGAAGCAACUCCAUGUCCUAGGGGACCCUUCGAAAGACGCCUCAUCAUCCAAAAUAUCAUGUCGAAAAGCCACUCGCGACAAGAGGUCCACAAGCUCGCCAGAUCGGUUCCCGACCUGCGACUCGCCGACCCAUCUCUUGCCUGAGCCGCUCUAGAUCGGUUCCCGACCUGUGCCUUGCCGGCCCAGCUUUUGCCCAAGUUGCUCCAGAUCAGUUCUCGACCUGCAGCUCGCCAGCCCAGCUCUUGCCCGAGUUGCUCUAUAUCGAUUCCCGACCCGCGGCUCGCCGGCCGAGCAUUUGUCCGAGCCGCUCCAGAUUGGUUCCCGACCUAUGGCUCACCGGCCCAGCUCUCAUUCGAGUCGCCCCAAAUCGGUUCCCGACCUGCAGCUCGCCGGCCCAGCUCUUGCCCGAGCCGCUCCAGAUCGGUUCCCGUCCUGCGGCCCGUUGGCCCAGCUCUUACCCAAGUCGCUCAAGAUUAGUUCUCGACCUCAGGCUCGCCGGCCUAGCUCUUGCCUGAGCCGCUCUAGAUCGAUUCUCGACCUGCGGCUCGCCGGCCUAGCUCUUGCCCAAGCGGCUCCAGAUCGGUUCUCGACCUGUGCCUCGCGGGCUCAGCUUUUGCCCGAGUCACUCCAGAUCGGUUCCCGACCUACGGCUCGUCGGCCCAACUCUCACCCGAGUAGCUCCAGAUCGGUUCUCGACUUGUGGCUCGCCAGCCCAACUCUUGCCCGAGCCACUCCAGAUCGGUUUCCGACCUGCGGCUCGUCGGCCCAACUCUUGCCCGAGUUGCUCUAGAUCGAUUCCCGACUUGCGGCUCUCUAGCCCAGCUCUUGCCCGAGCCAUCCAGAUCGAUUCCUGACCUGCGGGUAGCCAGCCCAGCUCUUGCCCAAGCGCUCUAGAUAAGUUCCUGACCUGUGCCUCGCUGGCCCAGUUCCUGCCCGGGUUGUUCCAGUUUGCUCCUGACUUUCGAUUCGGAGUCGAGCUUACUCACUUGGUCCCCAGAUUCAAUUCGGAGCCGAGCUUACUCACUCGGUCCCCAUAUCCGAUUCGGAGCCAAGCUUACUCACUCGGUCCCUAGGUUCAAUUCGGAGCCGAGUUUACUCACUCGGUCCCUAUGUUCAAUUCGGGGAGCCGAGCUUACUCACUUGGUCCCCAGAUUCAAUUCGGAGCCGAGCUUACUCACUCGGUCCCCAUAUUCGAUUCAAAUUCGAGCUUACUCACUUAGUCCCUAGGUUCAAUUUGGAGCCGAGCUUAGUCACUCGGUCCCUAGAUCCGAUUUAGAGCCGAGCUUACUCACUCGGUCUCCAGAUUCGAUUCGGAGUCGAGCUUACUCACUCGGUCCCCAGAUCCGAUUCAGAGCCGAGCUUACUCACUCAGUCCCCAGGUUCAAUUCGGAGCAGAGCUUAGUCACUCGGUCCCCAAGUUCAAUUCAGAGCUGAGCUUAUUCACUUGAUCCCCAGGUUCAAAUCGGAGAUAAGCUUAUUCACUCGGUCCCUAGGUUUGAUUCGGAGUCGAGCUUACUCACUCGGUCCCCAGGCUUAAUUCGGAGCCGGGCUUACUCACUCGGUCACCAGGUUCAGUUUGGAGCCGAGCUUAGUCACUCAAUCCCCAGGUUCAAUUCAGAGUCGAACUUAUUCACUCGAUCCCCAGGUUCAAAUCAGAGAUGAGCUUAGUCACUCAGUCCUCAGGUUCAUUUCUUGCUCGGGUCGCUCCAGAUCGCUCCCGACUUGCUACCCAUCGACACCGAAACCCGAGCCCGAGCUCGGUCACUCGACCCAUAGGCCCAAUCCAGUGUCCGAGCCACGCAUCUCAGCCAAUCCAACGCCCGAGUCGCAUCUCGGCCAAAUCCAAUGCCCGAGUCGCAUCUCGGCCAAAUCCAGCAUCCGAGCCACGCACCUCGGCCAUCCAACACCCGAGCCACGCAACUCGGCCAAUCUAACGCCCGAGUCGCAUCUUGGCCAAAUCCAAUGCCCGAGUCACAUCUCGGCCAAAUCCAACGUCCAAGCCACACACCUCGGCCAUCCAAAGCUCGAGCCACGCAUCUCGGCCAAUCCAAUGCCCAAGUCGUAUCUCGGCCAAUCCAAUACCCAAGUCGCAUCUCGACCAAAUCCAACGUCCAAGCCAUGCACAUUGCCCAUCCAAUGCCCGAGCCACGCAUCUCGACCGAUCCAACACCCGAGUAGCAUCUUGGCCGGUCCAAACGCCCGAACCACACAUCUUGGCCGAUCCAAUGCCCGAGCCAUACCUUGCGGCCAAUCUUAUGCCCGAGUCACAUCUCGAUCGAUCCAACGCCCGAAUCACCGGCCUAGUCUGUUAAUCCAAGUCGCUCCACGUCAACCCCUGACUAGCUACCCGUCAAGUCUCUAAACCGAGCCACCCCGGCUCGCUCGCCAACUUGCAAACUCGGCAGUUGUAACACCAAGUCGUGCCAAACCCGUUAUCUAACCUACGACACGUCGGUGUCGCCUCGUCGGUUUCGCCACGUCGGUUUCGACACGUUGGUUUUGCCUCGUCAGGCCCCUGCCUCCUGAUCAGUAGAGUCGAUCUUGCACGAAGCAUGGGGCGCUACCCUUCUAAAUCGCCCCAUGACGAGUUAAUCCAACUUCCCCUCAUGAACGAUCAGCCUCACUUCGAAGUAUCAUAUAAUAAUAUUUGGGCAUGGAAAGUUAUAAUGUCCUCCAUUGGGUUAGCAUUGCCAUCGAAUGCCUCCAACGACGAUGGUGGAAGAUUGUUAGAAUCGAUUCUUCCUGAAUUUUCUAGGUGAAUGAUGAUCGACUCGAGGUGGAGUCAACCAACGCUUCCUUUUUGGAUUAUUAAAUUUUUUAUCAUAUCUCCUCUAAAUGUCGGUCCAUCUAUGAUAGUUGGAUUCGCAAGGAAUCCUUCAUCAAUUUCGUCAACCUAGCCUCUGAUUUAAGCAUGAUAGAGUCAUGAUGUGGUAUGUUAAAUUUAUGGUGAUGGAGCGAAGUACUCUCUUGACCAUGAUUGGAUAGGUUUCGGGUACUCUUAGGAUGUCAACAUUAUGUUGGGUGGGGGAACAUUGAUUGGUGGGUGAGCUAUUGGGCUAACUAGCGUAAAUGUUAGAGAUUUUAAUAUAUAGAAUAUGCAUACUUGCAAGGCAUCUCAUGUAUGUCAAUUGUUGCAACCCCUUUUUUUUCUUAUUUAAGAUCCCUUCUGUUUUUUGAAUCAUAAUUAUAUUUUAACUGUUUUUUAAUAUUUAAUUCCUUCCAUCGAAAGAAAUGAACUUGAAUAACGAGAUGAUAUAAUAAAAGACACAAUAUCAACAAAAAUUUCUCAAGACCUACGUAAAGAAAAAAAAAUUCUUUGUAAAAAGAGAAAAAGCUAUAUUAAUUAGCAAAAACUAAAAAAAACGAAGAGCCGUUAGUAGCCUCCGAGGAAGAACAAAAAGUGGGUCAGCCUAUNNNNNNNNNNNNNNNNNNNNUCAACUAUGCUAAUGAUCAUGUUAGUGCGAUGGGUUCACUCUGUCAUUUGCCUACGCAUACAAUAUAUACUUUAGAAAACACAUAUAUAUUGAAAUUGUAUAGUUCGUCGUGAUUCUUUCUAAUCCCACACCAUGUGCCUUUACCGGAUGAUGAGAUGGGACAUUCCUUGGUAUCGCAGUAAAGUCAGAGGUCAUUCGUUAGAGGAUUUAUUAUAUUAAUUAUUGAGAGAUUAUAGAUUUUUUUUUAUCUUUAUUUUUUAUUUUUAAUUCAUUACUCAUAAUAAUCUUAUUAAAGAUAAAAAGAGAAGAGAAUGGGACUACAGUAGUGUUGUUGUGGGCGACAACUAUAGCAACAUCGAUACCACUAGGGUGAUUGUUGUAGCUUGUUGCGAUCGUAGCAUUACCGUUGCUUAGGGCAACUACAGCAAUGUCAUUGCGGUAUUUGUUGGCCACGGUCGAUGUCAACUAGACGUAAAAGACCAUGAUACUCAGCGGUUGCAUGACAAACUCGUAAGUAUUAGUGGGUGCCACAAUGACUAUGUGGUUGCUAGUUGAUACAAAAUCACGUAUGGCUGCGAUGACGAUGAGGUCGUUGAUUAGUCACAUGCGAAGAGCUAUGCACCGGUAACGAAUGACUAGUGCUCCAAGUGUGGGCAUAGUGGGAUGCGAUGACAACAUGAGAAUUUUUUUUUUUUUUAAGUAUAUUUUUAUCUUGAUAUAAGAAAAUUAUAUCUCCUAAGGGCUCUUCACUGAUUUAAUCACCUGAGGAGAAGCGCAAGUAAAAUUCUCCAGCAUCAUUAGAAUCCAUGAAGUAAUAACGAAUUACGGUCAGACCUAAACAAAAGAGGAAUCUCUGUGGCGUGCACCGGUGUGCAAAAAGUGGUGGUCUGGUCAGUGUUAGCCCGAUAGGUACGGCGGGUGUGGCGUGCACCGGCCUGUUAUCCUUCCACCGUCAAGAGCGGGAGGUUAUCGCUGCUCUGUGAAACCAGCCUGACGCGGUGUCCUCCGCUUUAGGAUCCCAGAUGGCUCGGGCCUUCGUUCGGGCCACAUAGCUCAGCUGCCUGACUUGGAACGGGCAAGCCAAGUCUAGCACGACCGCACCCAACCUAUUCGGGCUGAACACAACAUCCCACCACCUUAUUGCCCCCACUCGGGUUACAAGCCGGCGUUACCGGGCUCGGCGAUCGAGGCGCUUCCACAACUUCAUAUAGCCUGUCAGUGAAUCCUAACAAUCGGCGAUGUGGGACUAAGAGCGCUUCCCCUGCUCCCUCCUUU